AAUCUGCUGCAGGCCUAACACAUGCAAGUCGAGCGCUCACUUCGGUGGGAGCGGCGGACGGGUUAGUAACGCGUGGGAACGUGCCCAGAUCUAAGGAAUAGCCACUGGAAACGGUGAGUAAUACCUUAUACGCCCUUCGGGGGAAAGAUUUAUCGGAUUUGGAUCGGCCCGCGUUAGAUUAGAUAGUUGGUGGGGUAAUGGCCUACCAAGUCUACGAUCUAUAGCUGGUUUUAGAGGAUGAUCAGCAACACUGGGACUGAGACACGGCCCAGACUCCUACGGGAGGCAGCAGUGGGGAAUCUUGGACAAUGGGGGCAACCCUGAUCCAGCCAUGCCGCGUGAGUGAUGAAGGCCUUAGGGUCGUAAAGCUCUUUCGCCAGGGAUGAUAAUGACAGUACCUGGUAAAGAAACCCCGGCUAACUCCGUGCCAGCAGCCGCGGUAAUACGGAGGGGGUUAGCGUUGUUCGGAAUUACUGGGCGUAAAGCGCGCGUAGGCGGAUUGGAAAGUUGGGGGUGAAAUCCCGGGGCUCAACCCCGGAACUGCCUCCAAAACUAUCAGUCUAGAGUUCGAGAGAGGUGAGUGGAAUUCCGAGUGUAGAGGUGAAAUUCGUAGAUAUUCGGAGGAACACCAGUGGCGAAGGCGGCUCACUGGCUCGAUACUGACGCUGAGGUGCGAAAGUGUGGGGAGCAAACAGGAUUAGAUACCCUGGUAGUCCACACCGUAAACGAUGAAUGCCAGUCGUCGGCAAGCAUGCUUGUCGGUGACACACCUAACGGAUUAAGCAUUCCGCCUGGGGAGUACGGUCGCAAGAUUAAAACUCAAAUGAAUUGACGGAAGGGCGAA
RNAcentral lists this ribosomal RNA (844 nucleotides) under uncultured bacterium. RNAcentral's name for it is "bacterial SSU rRNA". It matches the Rfam family "Bacterial small subunit ribosomal RNA", at positions 33 to 925 of the family's 1533-position model. The record is from RNAcentral.